GAUGAACGCUAGCGACAGGCUUAACACAUGCAAGUCGAGGGGCAGCGGGGGUAGCAAUACCCGCCGGCGACCGGCGCACGGGUGAGUAACGCGUAUGCAACUUACCUAUCAGAGGGGGAUAACCCGGCGAAAGUCGGACUAAUACCGCAUGAAGCAGGGAUCCCGCAUGGGAAUAUUUGCUAAAGAUUCAUCGCUGAUAGAUAGGCAUGCGUUCCAUUAGGCAGUUGGCGGGGUAACGGCCCACCAAACCGACGAUGGAUAGGGGUUCUGAGAGGAAGGUCCCCCACAUUGGUACUGAGACACGGACCAAACUCCUACGGGAGGCAGCAGUGAGGAAUAUUGGUCAAUGGCCGAGAGGCUGAACCAGCCAAGUCGCGUGAGGGAUGAAGGUUCUAUGGAUCGUAAACCUCUUUUAUAAGGGAAUAAAGUGCGGGACGUGUCCCGUUUUGUAUGUACCUUAUGAAUAAGGAUCGGCUAACUCCGUGCCAGCAGCCGCGGUAAUACGGAGGAUCCGAGCGUUAUCCGGAUUUAUUGGGUUUAAAGGGUGCGUAGGCGGCCUUUUAAGUCAGCGGUGAAAGUCUGUGGCUCAACCAUAGAAUUGCCGUUGAAACUGGGGGGCUUGAGUAUGUUUGAGGCAGGCGGAAUGCGUGGUGUAGCGGUGAAAUGCAUAGAUAUCACGCAGAACCCCGAUUGCGAAGGCAGCCUGCCAAGCCAUGACUGACGCUGAUGCACGAAAGCGUGGGGAUCAAACGGGAUUAGAUACCCUGGUAGUCCACGCAGUAAACGAUGAUCACUAGCUGUUUGCGAUACACUGUAAGCGGCACAGCGAAAGCGUUAAGUGAUCCACCUGGGGAGUACGCCGGCAACGGUGAAACUCAAAGGAAUUGACGGGGGCCCGCACAAGCGGAGGAACAUGUGGUUUAAUUCGAUGAUACGCGAGGAACCUUACCCGGGUUUGAACGCAUUCGGACCGAGGUGGAAACACCUUUUCUAGCAAUAGCCGUUUGCGAGGUGCUGCAUGGUUGUCGUCAGCUCGUGCCGUGAGGUGUCGGCUUAAGUGCCAUAACGAGCGCAACCCUUGCCACUAGUUACUAACAGGUAAAGCUGAGGACUCUGGUGGGACUGCCAGCGUAAGCUGCGAGGAAGGCGGGGAUGACGUCAAAUCAGCACGGCCCUUACAUCCGGGGCGACACACGUGUUACAAUGGCGUGGACAAAGGGAAGCCACCUGGCGACAGAGAGCGAAUCCCCAAACCACGUCUCAGUUCGGAUCGGAGUCUGCAACCCGACUCCGUGAAGCUGGAUUCGCUAGUAAUCGCGCAUCAGCCAUGGCGCGGUGAAUACGUUCCCGGGCCU
RNAcentral lists this ribosomal RNA (1355 nucleotides) under uncultured bacterium. RNAcentral's name for it is "bacterial SSU rRNA". It matches the Rfam family "Bacterial small subunit ribosomal RNA", at positions 28 to 1381 of the family's 1533-position model. The record is from RNAcentral.